RNAcentral lists this unclassified non-coding RNA (378 nucleotides) under plant metagenome. RNAcentral's name for it is "partial contains 5.8S ribosomal RNA, internal transcribed spacer 2, and large subunit ribosomal RNA". The stretch from base 1 to 105 matches the Rfam family "5.8S ribosomal RNA", at positions 50 to 154 of the family's 154-position model. The record is from RNAcentral.
GAAAUUCGAUAAGUAAUGUGAAUUGCAGAAUUCAGUGAAUCAUCGAAUCUUUGAACGCACCUUGCGCUCCUUGGUAUUCCUUGGAGCAUGCCUGUUUGAGUAUCAUGAAAUCUUCAAAGUAAAUCUUUUGUUAACUCAAUUGGUUUCUACUUUGGUAUUGGAGGUCUUUGCAGCUUCACACCUGCUCCUCUUUGUUCAUUAGCUGGAUCUCAGUGUUAUGCUUGGUUCCACUCGGCGUGAUAAGUUAUCUAUCGCUGAGGACACUGUAAAAGGUGGCCAAGGUAAAUGCAGAUGAACCACUUCUAAUAGUCCAUUGACUUGGACAAUACUUUUAUGAUCUGAUCUCAAAUCAGGUAGGACUACCCGCUGAACUUAAGC